UACCAGACUCCUACGGGAGGCAGCAGUGGGGAAUAUUGCACAAUGGGGGGAACCCUGAUGCAGCGACGCCGCGUGGGUGAAGGAGCACCUCGGUGCGUAAAGCCCUAUCGGCAGGGAAGAAACAGACGGUACCUGACUAAGAAGCCCCGGCUAACUACGUGCCAGCAGCCGCGGUAAUACGUAGGGGGCAAGCGUUAUCCGGAUUUACUGGGUGUAAAGGGAGCGUAGACGGCAGAGAAAGUCUGAAGUGAAAGCCCGCGGCUCAACCGCGGAACUGCUUUGGAAACUUUUCGGCUAGAGUACCGGAGAGGUAAGCGGAAUUCCUAGUGUAGCGGUGAAAUGCGUAGAUAUUAGGAGGAACACCAGUGGCGAAGGCGGCUUGCUGGACGGUAACUGACGUUGAGGCUCGAAAGCGUGGGGAGCAAACAGGAUUAGAUACCCCCGUA
RNAcentral lists this ribosomal RNA (446 nucleotides) under uncultured bacterium. RNAcentral describes it as "partial 16S ribosomal RNA". It matches the Rfam family "Bacterial small subunit ribosomal RNA", at positions 329 to 792 of the family's 1533-position model. The record is from RNAcentral.